RNAcentral lists this ribosomal RNA (682 nucleotides) under uncultured archaeon. Its description in RNAcentral is "bacterial SSU rRNA". It matches the Rfam family "Archaeal small subunit ribosomal RNA", at positions 321 to 1001 of the family's 1478-position model. The record is from RNAcentral.
CCCUAUGGGGUGCAGCAGGCGCGAAAAUUUUACACUGCUCGAAAGAGUGAUAAAGGCAUCCAAAGUGCUUUCUCUUAUAUGAGGAAGCUUUUGUAAUGUGUAAAAAGCAUUAUGAAUAAGGGCUGGGCAAGACUGGUGCCAGCCGCCGCGGUAAUACCAGCGGCCCAAGUGGUAGCCAUUUUUAUUGGGUCUAAAGCGUUCGUAGCUGGUUCUGUAAAUUCCUUGUGAAACUGUACAGCUCAACUGUAUUACGAGCAAGAAACACUACAGAACUUGAGACCGGGAGAAGCAAAGGGAAUGGAUAGGGAAGUGGUAAAAUGCUAUAAUCCUAUCUAGACCACCAAUGGCGAAGGCACUUUGCUAGAACGGGUCUGACAGUCAGGAACGAAAGCUAGGGGAGCGAACCGGAUUAGAUACCCGGGUAGUCCUAGCUGUAAACGCUGCAUACUAAACAUCGCUCUCUCUUCGUGAGAAAGCGGUGCUGAAGCGAAGGCGUUAAGUGUGCCACCUGGGGAGUACGGUCGCAAGACUGAAACUUAAAGGAAUAGGCGGGGGAGCGCUACAAGGGGUGACGCGUGCGGUUUAAUUAGAUUUCACACCGUGAACCUCACCAGGAGCGACAGCAGAAUGAAGGUCUGUUUAAAUAGCACACCAGACACGCUGAGAGGAGGUGCAUGGCCAA